This 646-nucleotide long non-coding RNA is filed under the name Mytilus galloprovincialis (Mediterranean mussel). The record is from RNAcentral. Lineage: Eukaryota; Metazoa; Mollusca; Bivalvia; Mytilida; Mytilidae.
CAUUUUUAGCUCACCUGGCCCGAAGGGCCAAGUGAGCUUUUCUCAUCACUUGGCGUCCGGCGUCCGGCGUCGUCCGUCGUCCGUCGUCGUCCGUCGUCCGUCGUCGUCGUUAACUUUUACAAAAAUCUUCUCCUCUGAAACUACUGGGCCAAAUUUAACCAAACUUGGCCACAAUCAUCAUUGGGGUAUCUAGUUUAAAAAAUGUGUUCGGUUACCCGGCCAACCAACCAAGAUGGCCGCCAUGGCUAAAAAUAGAACAUAGGGGUCAAAUGCAGUUUUUGGCUUAUAACUCUGAAACCGAAGCAUUUAGAGCAAAUCUGACAUGGGGUUAAAUUGUUUAUUAAGUCAAGAUCUAUCUGCCUUUAAAUUUUCAGACGAAUCGGACAACCGGUUGUUGGGUUGCUGCCCCUGAAUUGGCAAUUUUAAGGAAAUUUUGCCGUUAUAUGGUUAUUAUCUUGAAUAUUAUUAUAGAUAGAGAUAAACUGUAAACAGCAAUAAUGUUCAGCAAAGUAAGAUCUACAAAUAAGUCAACAUGACCGAAAUGGUCAGUUGACCCAUAUAGGAGUUAUUGCCCUUUAUAGUCAAUUUUUAACCAUUUUUCGUAAAUCUUAGUAAUCUUUUACAAAAAUUUUCUCCUCUGAAACCA